This 994-nucleotide ribosomal RNA is filed under the name Escherichia coli. RNAcentral's name for it is "partial 23S ribosomal RNA". It matches the Rfam family "Bacterial large subunit ribosomal RNA", at positions 419 to 1414 of the family's 2925-position model. Lineage: Bacteria; Pseudomonadati; Pseudomonadota; Gammaproteobacteria; Enterobacterales; Enterobacteriaceae. The record is from RNAcentral.
GGGACACGUGGUAUCCUGUCUGAAUAUGGGGGGACCAUCCUCCAAGGCUAAAUACUCCUGACUGACCGAUAGUGAACCAGUACCGUGAGGGAAAGGCGAAAAGAACCCCGGCGAGGGGAGUGAAAAAGAACCUGAAACCGUGUACGUACAAGCAGUGGGAGCCUCUUAAUGGGGUGACUGCGUACCUUUUGUAUAAUGGGUCAGCGACUUAUAUUCUGUAGCAAGGUUAACCGAAUAGGGGAGCCGAAGGGAAACCGAGUCUUAACUGGGCGUUAAGUUGCAGGGUAUAGACCCGAAACCCGGUGAUCUAGCCAUGGGCAGGUUGAAGGUUGGGUAACACUAACUGGAGGACCGAACCGACUAAUGUUGAAAAAUUAGCGGAUGACUUGUGGCUGGGGGUGAAAGGCCAAUCAAACCGGGAGAUAGCUGGUUCUCCCCGAAAGCUAUUUAGGUAGCGCCUCGUGAAUUCAUCUCCGGGGGUAGAGCACUGUUUCGGCAAGGGGGUCAUCCCGACUUACCAACCCGAUGCAAACUGCGAAUACCGGAGAAUGUUAUCACGGGAGACACACGGCGGGUGCUAACGUCCGUCGUGAAGAGGGAAACAACCCAGACCGCCAGCUAAGGUCCCAAAGUCAUGGUUAAGUGGGAAACGAUGUGGGAAGGCCCAGACAGCCAGGAUGUUGGCUUAGAAGCAGCCAUCAUUUAAAGAAAGCGUAAUAGCUCACUGGUCGAGUCGGCCUGCGCGGAAGAUGUAACGGGGCUAAACCAUGCACCGAAGCUGCGGCAGCGACACUAUGUGUUGUUGGGUAGGGGAGCGUUCUGUAAGCCUGUGAAGGUGUACUGUGAGGUAUGCUGGAGGUAUCAGAAGUGCGAAUGCUGACAUAAGUAACGAUAAAGCGGGUGAAAAGCCCGCUCGCCGGAAGACCAAGGGUUCCUGUCCAACGUUAAUCGGGGCAGGGUGAGUCGACCCCUAAGGCGAGGCCGAAAGGCGUAG